AAAUAUUUGUAUGAAUUUUGAUGAAACUCAAGAUGCAUAUAUCUUCACAACAUUCUCGAGUUUCAUCAAAAUUCAUACAAAUAUUUAUAUGGAAAAGAAAAAUCAUAAAGUAAGCAAAUGAAAGAUGUAAACUGCGUCGUAAUCCUACAAGGCAUUUGGGGUAGGCUGAGCCACCAAAAUGGGGCAAAGGUCUUCUCUAAUUUCCUUAGUCAUACCAUGAACAACGGCGGCUUCUGCAUGCAAAAUUUAUUACUCCACCAAUGUGAUGACAGAUGCUAAGCAGUAAUCCUUGACCUACCUUUUGCUAUUCUUCGAGCAAUAAUGACUUUCCUUCCACCCUUGGUUGCCCUGCGUGCAAAGAAACCAUGAUUUCUCUUACGCCUGAUGAGGCUGGGUUGGAAUGUCCUUUUAGGGAAUAAGAGCAUUGGCUCACUUGAUGAAUCACCGUCCGGCAAGAAGAAGCGAAGAGAAGGGAGACCAAAGGGAUGGAAAAACUCUUCUUUGGCAAGAUUAUUAACGGAAUAGGCAUCAUUUUGGGGCAAAUCGUAAGAGGUUUGCAAUUUAGAGGGAGAAGGAAAUAGCUGAGGAGUGAUUUGAAAGCUGUGAGAUACAAUUUGAGCAUUGGCCUUAGGGUUUUGGUGGAGAAUCGGAUUCGAUAAGAACAUGCGGUUCAUCAGUGAAGCUCCGGUUCGAAUUAGGGUUUUGG
RNAcentral lists this unclassified non-coding RNA (706 nucleotides) under Hevea brasiliensis (rubber tree). The record is from RNAcentral. Lineage: Eukaryota; Viridiplantae; Streptophyta; Magnoliopsida; Malpighiales; Euphorbiaceae.